AAAAAAAACAUUUAAAUAAAAUAUUGGGAAAGAUAAAUUUAUUAUAAAUAACGGUGAUUCUAAUGAUCAUUUUACAUUUGUCUCAAUUGAGAUUUAAACUUCGUCUUUUGAGGUUGCAAUUAAUCUCUUACCAAUUUUCAAAUCGAUGACGAUUUUCUAAUCGAUGACGACAUUCACAUAUGCGAAAAACGCAUUUUCCAACAUAAAGACCACAAUUAAUGAAUUUACAUUCAUAAUCAUCUUUACAUGGCGUUGGUGUUACUGUGAUAUAAAAGAGAAGAAACAAAUAUUAGCGAAAGGAGUGAAAGAUUUUGUAUAAGAUAAACAAGAAAGUUCAAAAGGGUGAAAAAAAUGGUUUACCUGCACUAGCUUCCGGUAAAACAAGAAAUAAGGAAAUAAAGAGGAUUAAUAAAUAAACAAAUUUAAUAAUUUUUGUCAUAUUUUUUCUUCUAAGCUUGCAACAACUAAAAACUUAUUAACCACUUUAUGUUGCAAAAGUUCUAUGUUUUUGUUUAUUUGUUUCGAUAAAUAUUUGUUUGAAUUUAUAGAUUUUCAAGAAUACUUUAAAAAAUUACAACUUUCAUGUUUGUCUGUUUAGCUCGAUCAAUCGACAA
Molecule: long non-coding RNA, 614 nt
Filed under: Trifolium pratense (red clover)
Lineage: Eukaryota; Viridiplantae; Streptophyta; Magnoliopsida; Fabales; Fabaceae
Description: long non-coding RNA (TPRA_LNC004792)
Source: RNAcentral